This is a non-coding RNA of 944 nucleotides. The stretch from base 239 to 943 matches the Rfam family "Microsporidia small subunit ribosomal RNA".
UUUUUUAGGAGAAAAAGUCUUUGAGUACCUUACUCAAAAAAAUAAAUUAGUAAUCAGUUUACAUAUAACUUAUAUAAAGCUUGGCUCUGACUUUUUAUAUGGUGAGAACUCUAAAAUACACAUGGUUUUUUUUGAGGAAGGCGAGGUGGAAGUUAUUUAAUCUUAUUUAGAAUAUUUUAGACUUAUUUUUCUUCCAAGGUAUUAUAGCACUAUAUAAUGUCUUGAAAAGUCCCGCUAACACCAGUGCUGAAGAUUAAAAAGGGGCGGAAGCUCGCUUUAGUUUAGUUCAAUUAGAUCUGGUUAACUUGGUGCCAGCAUCCGCGGUUAAACCAAGAUGAUCAAAUUAUAUAACUUCGGUAAAAAAACAGUUAAAUUAAAUUUAUGUUUAUUAAACUUCUAUAGAAAAGUAAAAUUUAAUCAUAGACAGGAAAUUCAACUUAAGCUCAGAUAUUGAAGCUGUGAAAGCCUCGAGGGAAACUGGGAUUAGAUACCCCAUUAUUCUUGGAUGUAAAUUAAUUCUUAUUUACCAGAGUACUAUGAAUUAAAUAUUUAAAACUUAAAGGGCUUGGCGGUGUUUUAGACCCCUCAGGGGAACCUGUCUCGUAAUCGACAGUCCACGAUAAACCUAACCCUUUUUUGUAUAUCAGCUUGUAUACCGUCGUCGUCAGGUAACUUUUUAGAAGAAAGAAGUUAGCAAAAAAAUGAAAUAAAUUUUCACGUCAGAUCAAGGUGCAGCUAAUAAAAGGGGGAGGAUGGGUUACAAUUACAAAAUUGUAAUAACGAAAAGUUCUUUGAAAUAAGAAUAGGAAGGAGGACUUGAAAGUAAGAUAAAAUAUAUAAAUGUUCUGAAUAAGGCUCUGAAACGUGCACACAUCGCCCGUCGCUCUCGCUGAAAAGUGAGAUAAGUCGUAACAUAGCAGGGGUAAUGGAAAUUGCUCCUAAAC